GUUCUUCUGCCUUCGUUCAGAACGAAUUGGAAAAAUUCGUCUUGAAUUUCGUUCUGAACGAAGGCAGAAGAAU
Paramuricea clavata is the source of this 73-nucleotide non-coding RNA. Lineage: Eukaryota; Metazoa; Cnidaria; Anthozoa; Malacalcyonacea; Plexauridae. The record is from the annotation of a GenBank genome assembly.